ACGCCCUUCGGGGCUUUUUGGUGAUUCAUGAUAACUUUACGGAUCGCAUGGCCUUGCGCCGGCGACGGUUCAUUCAAAUUUCUGCCCUAUCAACUUUCGAUGGUAAGGUAUUGGCUUACCAUGGUUUCAACGGGUAACGGGGAAUUAGGGUUCGAUUCCGGAGAGGGAGCCUGAGAAACGGCUACCACAUCCAAGGAAGGCAGCAGGCGCGCAAAUUACCCAAUCCCGACACGGGGAGGUAGUGACAAUAAAUACUGAUACAGGGCUCUUUUGGGUCUUGUAAUUGGAAUGAGUACAAUUUAAACCUCUUAACGAGGAACAAUUGGAGGGCAAGUCUGGUGCCAGCAGCCGCGGUAAUUCCAGCUCCAAUAGCGUAUAUUAAAGUUGUUGCAGUUAAAAAGCUCGUAGUUGAACCUUGGGCCUGGCUGGCAGGUCCGCCUCACCGCGUGUACUUGUCCGGCUGGGCCUUCCUUCUGGAGAACCUCAUGCCCUUCACUGGGCGUGUUGGGGACCAGGACUUUUACUUUGAAAAAAUUAGAGUGUUCAAAGCAGGCCUUUGCUCGAAUACGUUAGCAUGGAAUAAUAGAAUAGGACGUGCGGUCCUAUUUUGUUGGUUUCUAGGACCGCCGUAAUGAUUAAUAGGGACAGUCGGGGGCAUCAGUAUUCAAUUGUCAGAGGUGAAAUUCUUGGAUUUAUUGAAGACUAACUACUGCGAAAGCAUUUGCCAAGGAUGUUUUCAUUAAUCAGUGAACGAAAGUUAGGGGAUCGAAGACGAUCAGAUACCGUCGUAGUCUUAACCGUAAACUAUGCCGACUAGGGAUCGGGCGAUGUUCUUUUUCUGACUCGCUCGGCACCUUACGAGAAAUCAA
RNAcentral lists this ribosomal RNA (869 nucleotides) under Leptospora galii. Its description in RNAcentral is "SSU rRNA". It matches the Rfam family "Eukaryotic small subunit ribosomal RNA", at positions 226 to 1101 of the family's 1831-position model. The record is from RNAcentral. Lineage: Eukaryota; Fungi; Ascomycota; Dothideomycetes.